GAUGAACGCUGGCGGCGUGCUUAACACAUGCAAGUCGAACGGGAUCCGUCAGGCUUUGCUUGGUGGUGAGAGUGGCGAACGGGUGAGUAAUGCGUGACCGACCUGCCCCAUACACCGGAAUAGCUCCUGGAAACGGGUGGUAAUGCCGGAUGCUCCGACUCCUCGCAUGGGGUGUCGGGAAAGAUUUCAUCGGUAUGGGAUGGGGUCGCGUCCUAUCAGGUAGUCGGCGGGGUAACGGCCCACCGAGCCUACGACGGGUAGCCGGCCUGAGAGGGCGACCGGCCACAUUGGGACUGAGAUACGGCCCAGACUCCUACGGGAGGCAGCAAUGGGGAAUAUUGCACAAUGGGCGCAAGCCUGAUGCAGCGACGCCGCGUGCGGGAUGACGGCCUUCGGGUUGUAAACCGCUUUUGAUCGGGAGCAAGCCUUCGGGUGAGUGUACCUUUCGAAUAAGCACCGGCUAACUACGUGCCAGCAGCCGCGGUAAUACGUAGGGUGCAAGCGUUAUCCGGAAUUAUUGGGCGUAAAGGGCUCGUAGGCGGUUCGUCGCGUCCGGUGUGAAAGUCCAUCGCUUAACGGUGGAUCUGCGCCGGGUACGGGCGGGCUGGAGUGCGGUAGGGGAGACUGGAAUUCCCGGUGUAACGGUGGAAUGUGUAGAUAUCGGGAAGAACACCAAUGGCGAAGGCAGGUCUCUGGGCCGUUACUGACGCUGAGGAGCGAAAGCGUGGGGAGCGAACAGGAUUAGAUACCCUGGUAGUCCACGCCGUAAACGGUGGAUGCUGGAUGUGGGGCCCGUUCCACGGGUUCCGUGUCGGAGCUAACGCGUUAAGCAUCCCGCCUGGGGAGUACGGCU
Molecule: ribosomal RNA, 853 nt
Filed under: Bifidobacterium pseudocatenulatum
Lineage: Bacteria; Bacillati; Actinomycetota; Actinomycetes; Bifidobacteriales; Bifidobacteriaceae
Description: bacterial SSU rRNA
Rfam family: Bacterial small subunit ribosomal RNA
Source: RNAcentral